GUGUUACAGGUAGUAGAGAGUUAUGUCUCUGUUUAACAGGUAUUAUAACGUUAAUCUCUCUGAUUUACAGAUAUAGAUCUCCCUGUUUUACAGGUGCAACACAGUUAAAUCUUCAUGCUACAGGUGUAACAGGUUUAAAUCUCCCUGUGCUAUAGGUGUAAUAGGGUUAAAUCUCUGUAUGUUACAGGUGUAAGAGGGUUAAAUCUCUGUGUUAAAGGUGUAACAGGGUUAAAUCUCUGUGUUAAAGGUGUAACAGGGUUAAAUCUCUGUGUUACAGGUGUAACAUUGUUAAAUUUCUGUGUUACAGGUGUAACAGGGUUAAAUAUCUGUCUGUUACAGGUGUAACAGGGUUAAAUCUCUGUGUUACAGGUGUAAUAGGAUUUAAUCUCUGUGUUACAGGUGUAACAGGGUUAAAUCUCUGUUUGUUAAAUGAUCCUCUUCAGUGUGAUUGGUGGUUCCCAGUGUAGCAGUGCAGUCACUGCAUCCUCUUGCUGAGGGAGGUUUUUGUACAGCUCUGUAUCACCGUGUGAUAUCUGGAGCACUGUAGAAAGCAAGACAAUAAUACACUCCAGCGUCCUCAGGCCGAACUUCACUGAUGGUCAGAGUGAAGUCAGUUCCAGACCCACUACCGCUGAAUCUGUCUGAGAUCCCAGAUUCUCGGCUGCUUGUGUCAUGUAUUAGGAGUUUGAGAGCUUCUCCAGCCUUGUGUUGGUACCAGGACACAUCAUCACCCAGUCCACUGGAGGUGCUGGUUUUACAGCUCAGAGUGACUCUGUCUCCUGGAACUGCAGAUUUCACUGCAGG
Molecule: long non-coding RNA, 804 nt
Organism: Anguilla rostrata (American eel)
Lineage: Eukaryota; Metazoa; Chordata; Actinopteri; Anguilliformes; Anguillidae
Exons: 4
Source: RefSeq, a predicted model, not a curated record